UACGUAGGGGGCAAGCGUUGCCCGGAAUCAUUGGGCGUAAAGAGCGUGUAGGCGGUCCGGUAAGUCGGCUGUGAAAGUCCAGGGCUCAACCCUGGGAUGCCGGUCGAUACUGCCGGACUAGAGUUCGGAAGAGGCGAGUGGAAUUCCCGGUGUAGCGGUGAAAUGCGCAGAUAUCGGGAGGAACACCUAUGGCGAAGGCAGCUCGCUGGGACGUUACUGACGCUGAGACGCGAAAGCGUGGGGAGCAAACAGG
Molecule: ribosomal RNA, 253 nt
Filed under: uncultured bacterium
Lineage: Bacteria
Description: partial 16S ribosomal RNA
Rfam family: Bacterial small subunit ribosomal RNA
Source: RNAcentral